AUUGAACGCUGGCGGCAUGCUUUACACAUGCAAGUCGAACGGUAACAGGCCGCAAGGUGCUGACGAGUGGCGAACGGGUGAGUAAUGCAUCGGAACGUGCCCAGGCGUGGGGGAUAACUACUCGAAAGAGUAGCUAAUACCGCAUACGAUCUAUGGAUGAAAGCGGGGGACCGUAAGGCCUCGCGCGAUUGGAGCGGCCGAUGUCAGAUUAGGUAGUUGGUGGGGUAAAGGCUCACCAAGCCAACGAUCUGUAGCUGGUCUGAGAGGACGACCAGCCACACUGGGACUGAGACACGGCCCAGACUCCUACGGGAGGCAGCAGUGGGGAAUUUUGGACAAUGGGCGCAAGCCUGAUCCAGCAAUGCCGCGUGCAGGAAGAAGGCCUUCGGGUUGUAAACUGCUUUUGUACGGAACGAAACGGCUCUGGUUAAUACCCGGGGCUAAUGACGGUACCGUAAGAAUAAGCACCGGCUAACUACGUG
RNAcentral lists this ribosomal RNA (482 nucleotides) under uncultured bacterium. Its description in RNAcentral is "partial 16S ribosomal RNA". It matches the Rfam family "Bacterial small subunit ribosomal RNA", at positions 30 to 507 of the family's 1533-position model. The record is from RNAcentral.